ACUACCGUGGCUUAACGGAUAAGUUCCCCUUGUGGGAGGAUGGAGGUUCGAUUCCUCCCGGUAGUC
Non-coding RNA from Phytophthora infestans T30-4, 66 nucleotides. The record is from the annotation of a RefSeq genome assembly. NCBI's taxonomy places the organism in Eukaryota, Oomycota, Peronosporomycetes, Peronosporales, Peronosporaceae.